This 698-nucleotide ribosomal RNA is filed under the name uncultured bacterium. RNAcentral describes it as "bacterial SSU rRNA". It matches the Rfam family "Bacterial small subunit ribosomal RNA", at positions 60 to 747 of the family's 1533-position model. The record is from RNAcentral.
AGUCGAGGGGCAGCAUAUAGAUUGCUUGCAAUUUAUGGUGGCGACCGGCGCACGGGUGAGUAACGCGUAUCCAACCUACCCAUUACUAGGGAAUAACCCAGCGAAAGUUGGCCUAAUGCCCUAUGUAGUCGUUUGAUCGCCUGAGAUUUCGACGAAAGAUUUAUCGGUAUUGGAUGGGGAUGCGUCUGAUUAGCUUGUUGGCGGGGUAAAGGCCCACCAAGGCAACGAUCAGUAGGGGUUCUGAGAGGAAGGUCCCCCACAUUGGAACUGAGACACGGUCCAAACUCCUACGGGAGGCAGCAGUGAGGAAUAUUGGUCAAUGGGCGAGAGCCUGAACCAGCCAAGUAGCGUGCAGGAUGACGGCCCUAUGGGUUGUAAACUGCUUUUAUAUGGGAAUAAAGUGAGGGACGUGUCCCUUAUUGCAUGUACCAUACGAAUAAGGACCGGCUAAUUCCGUGCCAGCAGCCGCGGUAAUACGGAAGGUCCAGGCGUUAUCCGGAUUUAUUGGGUUUAAAGGGAGCGUAGGCUGUUUGUUAAGCGUGUUGUGAAAUGUAGGAGCUCAACUUUUAGAUUGCAGCGCGAACUGGCAGACUUGAGUGCGCACAACGUAGGCGGAAUUCAUGGUGUAGCGGUGAAAUGCUUAGAUAUCAUGACGAACUCCGAUUGCGAAGGCAGCUUACGGGAGCGCAACUGACGCU